AUAGCGUAUAUUAAAGUUGUUGCGGUUAAAAAGCUCGUAGUUGAAUCUGUGUCCCACGCUGUCGGUUCGCCGCUCGCGGUGUUUAACUGGCAUGAUUGUGGGACGUCCUACCGGUGGGCUUAGCCCCUCGGGGCGGCCCAACUAAUAUCCCAUCGCGGUGCUCUUCACUGAGUGUCGAGGUGGGCCGGUACGUUUACUUUGAACAAAUUAGAGUGCUUAAAGCAGGCUACUUUCGCCUGAAUACUGUGUGCAUGGAAUAAUGGAAUAGGACCUCGGUUCUAUUUUGUUGGUUUUCGGAACCCCGAGGUAAUGAUUAAUAGGGACAGAUGGGGGCAUUCGUAUUGCGACGUUAGAGGUGAAAUUCUUGGAUCGUCGCAAGACGGACAGAAGCGAAAGCAUUUGCCAAAAAUGUUUUCUUUAAUCAAGAACGAAAGUUAGAGGUUCGAAGGCGAUCAGAUACCGCCCUAGUUCUAACCAUAAACGAUGCCAGCUAGCGAUCCGCCGAAGUUCCUCCGAUGACUCGGCGGGCAGCUUCCGGGAAACCAAAGCUUUUGGGUUCCGGGGGAAGUAUGGUUGCAAAGCUGAAACUUAAAGGAAUUGACGGAAGGGCACCACCAGGAGUGGAGCCUGCGGCUUAAUUUGACUCAACACGGGAAACCUCACCAGGCCCGGACACCGGAAGGAUUGACAGAUUGAGAGCUCUUUCUUGAUUCGGUGGGUGGUGGUGCAUGGCCGUUCUUAGUUGGUGGAGCGAUUUGUCUGGUUAAUUCCGAUAACGAACGAGACUCUAGCCUGCUAAAUAGGCGUACUUUCCGGUAUCUCGAAGGCCCCCGGCUUCGGUCGGGCGGUUUUUACUACCGGCGUACAAAUAAAUCUUCUUAGAGGGAC
This 888-nucleotide ribosomal RNA is filed under the name Nematus sp. Sus7. RNAcentral describes it as "SSU rRNA". It matches the Rfam family "Eukaryotic small subunit ribosomal RNA", at positions 594 to 1420 of the family's 1831-position model. Lineage: Eukaryota; Metazoa; Arthropoda; Insecta; Hymenoptera; Tenthredinidae. The record is from RNAcentral.